Molecule: long non-coding RNA, 832 nt
Filed under: Homo sapiens (human)
Lineage: Eukaryota; Metazoa; Chordata; Mammalia; Primates; Hominidae
Description: HSALNT0402766
Source: RNAcentral
CAGGCGCCGGGGGGUGGGGGGGCCCACAGCGCCGGCGCAGGCGCAGGGAGGCCCACAGCGCCGGAGCAGGUGCAGAAAGUCAGAAGGUCCAUGAGGGGAAGUUCCUGCUUCAGGUGCAGAAAUACAGCUAUUUCCAGUGCCAGCUGUGGAGCCAGUGCCAGCACCAGGGUCAAAGCCCCCUCCAGGGACAGCGCUGGAGCUAGAGGAGGCUCCAGAGCCCUCCUGCCAUUGCCCUGGGACUGCCCAAGCUGAAAGUGUGGCUGGAGCUAGAGGUGGCAGAGAGGGGGUGACCAGCACAGCUCCAGCCAGCAGCUCCCACACUGCUCCCAGUCCUGGGCACAGUGGAAGCUAUGGAGGCAGAGACCAGGGUGUGCAACCUGGGCUCCUCUGCCUCACUGGAGAGGGACUUCUCUCAUUCAGCAGAGCAGCAGCCCUGCUGCUGAAGAGCCUGCUGCUACUGCUGCUGGGGUUGUUUGCCUGCCUACAGGAGGUGCUGGAGAGCAAGAAAAGGAGCCUGUGAGCAGGGGUUCCAGGAGGUCCUCCUGCUCCCAGAGGCGACCUCCUCCUCCAGGCAUGGAGGUUUGCCCUCAGCUAGGCAUCUGGGCCAUUUGCCUCUAAUGUUCUGCCCAGGAUGGCCUCUUCUUGACAGGUGGACAGGGGUUGAGGGGGCCAGGGGGCAUCUCCAAAGGAAGAUUUAAACUCAGCAGCUGCACCCCAGAAUCUCCAUGCCUGCACCUGCCCAAGGAUUUAUUCAUAGCUUAACUAAGAAUCUCAAAUUUCUACCAUAACACUGAAAUAAAGUUUGACUUUUUGAAACUUCCAUGACUUCUUU